Apis cerana (Asiatic honeybee) is the source of this 1674-nucleotide long non-coding RNA. RefSeq lists it as uncharacterized. NCBI's taxonomy places the organism in Eukaryota, Metazoa, Arthropoda, Insecta, Hymenoptera, Apidae. The record is from RefSeq and is a predicted model, not a curated record.
AACAACAGUAUCUUCUUGCAUGUGCAAAUUCAAUUCCUUUCUGAUAUUUAAUAUCACCGACUAUUACAACGAUUUUCAUUGGACGGUGUUCAAAGUGAUCAUAGCAAAAGAAUCACGUAUUUUCGUAUAUGCAUAUCAUUUAUUCAUUUGCAAAGAGAAGUUGUAUGCGAGUGGAUUUCGUAAUUAAAUUACUUCUUAACCAAACAAAAUUGUGAUGUGCGUGAUGUACUAUAUAAUCGUAAUAACAAUAAUAAUCAUGCUACUUCUCUUUCUGACUUUUGCAAUAUAUUUUAAUCUUUAAUUCGAAAAAAAAAAGAAGAGAACAAAGAAUAAUCAUGAUCGAGGCUAAUUAAUACGCAAAAAUUUGUAAAAUUCGCGACAAAGUGUUCUGAGCAAAUCGCAUCGGCAAUAAAAACAUCGCGCGCCUUCGCGUUGCGCUGCAAAUAAAUUUUUUGAGAUCCAAUAUAAUUCGUGAUAUCGUUGAUAAUUGCGACGUUUUCUUUUCGUCGACUAUAUUUCAAUUUCUAUGGACACGUCCAAUGUAAUCAUGGCCAAAGAUCGACCGAGAUACGAUUCUUCGGGAAUCGAGGAUCGAUCGAUCGACGGUGGUAUCGUCAUCGAGAGGCUGUCACUGUUGGAUGAUGACGCAUCGUAACUCUCUGCCACAGUGAAGUCUCGGUGUCGCCUUGAGUGCUGAAAGGAAUGAAAAAUGCAUACGUAAGAACCGCAGAGGAAACUGGGUUAAAGCCGCGAGAGGGUCAAGAAAAGAAGAGUCUCGUGCGGUGUUCGCAGUGGUGGAAUCGAUGAUGGGGAGAAAUCGACCGUGGAGAUUAGGCACGAUCGGGGUUGAAGGAAAGAGGGCCGCCGGCAUCGUUAACCGAAAAUUAGAGCGGGCCACUUGCCCAUCGUCGCGGAUACGGGGGAGGGGGCCGUGUAUAUCGUGACACGGCCCCAUUCUUCUCCAAGAACUCGCGGAAUUUCGCUCACGUUUGACCAGAGCCGCCGACCGAUGGUGCCUCUUUUCCAUUUUUAUUAAAAACGUCGAACGCCGGCGCGGAGAGAAGGAACGAAGCGUUAUUAGCAAACUUUGUUACCCAAGUAAUUUCUUUUGUGCCCGACCCGUUGUUGAUACGAAACAUCAUCCACUAUGAAAAUUAAUCUUCUUAAAAAAGCCGGCGGGAAGAUGCUUCGAAGAAGGAGAUUGCUUCUCCCUCGCAUCAAACGAUACCUCUCUCCUUUUUUCCAUCUGCCUUUUAUCUUUAAUUUUAUCCUUUGUUCGACGAACCAUUCGAAAUAAAAUAAACGUAUAAACAAAUUGUCCCAAGACGAUCCCUUUCUUCUUCUCUAUCCAUGUACAACGAAUCACUGGCUACUUGUUAAUUCGUCAAACGUAAAAUUAUCAACUGUGAGUUAUUAACGGAUUAAUUCGUAAACUUUUAUAAAUAUUGCUAUUAUAAAUGGGCAAAUAUUUGUUUAAUAUCUUUUUUUUUUUUUUUAGGUAAAAAUUUUUCCAUCUAAUAAGGUAAAUCGUACACGAUCGUGCAACAUUUGAAAAGACGAGGAUUUGUUGAUAAAUUUUAUUUGGAUUAUCAAUUAUUAUAUCUUUUUUAUAUAUAAAAAUUCGUGUAAUAAAUAUUAUAUAUCUUUUCUAAUAAAUGUUACAUACCUGUUUUA